Molecule: long non-coding RNA, 223 nt
Organism: Hippocampus comes (tiger tail seahorse)
Lineage: Eukaryota; Metazoa; Chordata; Actinopteri; Syngnathiformes; Syngnathidae
Exons: 3
Source: RefSeq, a predicted model, not a curated record
AAAAAGUUGAGGAGUGUGUGCCAUCCAUUUCUGCUGAUGCGGAUCACGCUGGAGGAAAAAAAAAAAUGUCGCGACAAAGGUCAUGAUGGAGACCAGCAGACACAGCAGCAUGACAGCUGUGCAGGCAUACACCACUGGAUGCAGCAGGCGCGCCUGUUCUGUGUUUACCAAUCAAGCCUGCCAUGCAUUUAAGGACUUCCAAGGUGCCUCGUCUCUCAUCAGA